This 90-nucleotide transfer RNA is filed under the name Armatimonadota bacterium. RNAcentral's name for it is "Armatimonadetes bacterium tRNA-Phe". Lineage: Bacteria; Bacillati; Armatimonadota. The record is from RNAcentral.
GGCACCGUGGAUUCCUGGUAUGACGCCCGGCAGUAAUAGAGCAGAGGACUGAAAAUCCUCGUGUCACCGGUUCGAGCCCGGUCGGUGGCA